RNAcentral lists this ribosomal RNA (253 nucleotides) under uncultured bacterium. RNAcentral's name for it is "partial 16S ribosomal RNA". It matches the Rfam family "Bacterial small subunit ribosomal RNA", at positions 524 to 776 of the family's 1533-position model. The record is from RNAcentral.
UACGAAAGGGGCUAGCGUUGUUCGGAAUUACUGGGCGUAAAGCGCACGUAGGCGGCCUUGUAAGUUGGGGGUGAAAGCCCGGGGCUCAACUCCGGAACUGCCUUCAAGACUGCAAAGCUAGAGGACGCGAGAGGUUAGCGGAAUUCCGAGUGUAGAGGUGAAAUUCGUAGAUAUUCGGAAGAACACCAGUGGCGAAGGCGGCUAACUGGCGCGUUUCUGACGAUGAGGUGCGAAAGCGUGGGGAGCAAACAGG